Molecule: transfer-messenger RNA, 346 nt
Filed under: Actinomycetota (actinobacteria)
Lineage: Bacteria; Bacillati
Also listed under: 1 other name
Description: JAHIPE01 sp018894655 Standard tmRNA
Rfam family: transfer-messenger RNA
About the family: Bacterial tmRNA, also known as 10Sa RNA or SsrA, is named for its dual tRNA and mRNA-like properties.
Source: RNAcentral
GGGGGCGAUUUGGCUUCGACAGGAGUGAAGGAGGUAGAGGCGCGAGCCGAGUGCCAGCAUCUCGUUAAACAGUUGGAAAACUAACCAAACGCCGAUACCAAUCUGGCGCUGGCUGCUUAAGGCGGUCACGUCCCCCGGGUGAGGCCUGCGGCCCCGGGUAGGGCGACGUUAGCAGGAUAGUCCCGGCAUCGGAGUUCCGACGGAGCCGGGGUGAAACUUAAUGGAACUGGCGCCGGCGAGGCAGCCUGUGAGCCGGACCGGGGUGAGAAUAAACCACAGGAUACGCUCGUAGAAGCCUCUAGCGAAACUCUUCUGGACGCGGGUUCAACUCCCGCCGCCUCCACCA